ACUCCUACGGGAGGCAGCAGUGGGGAAUAUUGGACAAUGGGCGCAAGCCUGAUCCAGCCAUGCCGCGUGUGUGAAGAAGGCCUUUUGGUUGUAAAGCACUUUAAGCGAGGAGGAGGCUACUUGGAUUAAUACUCUAGGAUAGUGGACGUUACUCGCAGAAUAAGCACCGGCUAACUCUGUGCCAGCAGCCGCGGUAAUACAGAGGGUGCGAGCGUUAAUCGGAUUUACUGGGCGUAAAGCGUGCGUAGGCGGCUUUUUAAGUCGGAUGUGAAAUCCCUGAGCUUAACUUAGGAAUUGCAUUCGAUACUGGGAAGCUAGAGUAUGGGAGAGGAUGGUAGAAUUCCAGGUGUAGCGGUGAAAUGCGUAGAGAUCUGGAGGAAUACCGAUGGCGAAGGCAGCCAUCUGGCCUAAUACUGACGCUGAGGUACGAAAGCAUGGGGAGCAAACAGGAUUAGAUACCCUGGUAGUCCAUGCCGUAAACGAUGUCUACUAGCCGUUGGGGCCUUUGAGGCUUUAGUGG
RNAcentral lists this ribosomal RNA (520 nucleotides) under bacterium btn 3-2. Its description in RNAcentral is "bacterial SSU rRNA". It matches the Rfam family "Bacterial small subunit ribosomal RNA", at positions 335 to 846 of the family's 1533-position model. The record is from RNAcentral.